CCACAAUUUAUCAUUGUCCCAA
This 22-nucleotide non-coding RNA is filed under the name Mus musculus (house mouse). The record is from RNAcentral. Lineage: Eukaryota; Metazoa; Chordata; Mammalia; Rodentia; Muridae.